UACGAAGGGGGCUAGCGUUGCUCGGAAUCACUGGGCGUAAAGGGUGCGUAGGCGGGUCUUUAAGUCAGGGUGAAAUCCUGGAGCUCAACUCCAGAACUGCCUUUGAUACUGAGGAUCUUGAGUUCGGGAGAGGUGAGUGGAACUGCGAGUGUAGAGGUGAAAUUCGUAGAUAUUCGCAAGAACACCAGUGGCGAAGGCGGCUCACUGGCCCGAUACUGACGCUGAGGCACGAAAGCGUGGG
Molecule: ribosomal RNA, 241 nt
Filed under: uncultured bacterium
Lineage: Bacteria
Description: partial 16S ribosomal RNA
Rfam family: Bacterial small subunit ribosomal RNA
Source: RNAcentral